GUGCUCGCUUCAGCAGCACAUAUGCUAAAAUUGGAAUGAUACAGCGAAGAUUAGCAUGGACCCUGCGCAAGGAUGACAUGCAAAUUUGUGAAGCGUUCCAUAUUAAA
Erinaceus europaeus (western European hedgehog) is the source of this 107-nucleotide small nuclear RNA. The record is from Ensembl. Lineage: Eukaryota; Metazoa; Chordata; Mammalia; Eulipotyphla; Erinaceidae.